UCCACUCCUCUCAUGCACAUA
Molecule: non-coding RNA, 21 nt
Filed under: Caenorhabditis elegans
Lineage: Eukaryota; Metazoa; Nematoda; Chromadorea; Rhabditida; Rhabditidae
Source: RNAcentral